This 253-nucleotide ribosomal RNA is filed under the name uncultured bacterium. RNAcentral describes it as "partial 16S ribosomal RNA". It matches the Rfam family "Bacterial small subunit ribosomal RNA", at positions 524 to 776 of the family's 1533-position model. The record is from RNAcentral.
UACGGGGGGGGCAAGCGUUGUUCGGAAUUACUGGGCGUAAAGGGCUCGUAGGCGGCCAACUAAGUCGGACGUGAAAUCCCUCGGCUUAACCGGGGAACUGCAUCCGAUACUGGAUGGCUUGAGUUCGGGAGAGGGAUGCGGAAUUCCAGGUGUAGCGGUGAAAUGCGCAGAUAUCUGGAGGAACACCGGUGGCGAAGGCGGCAUCCUGGACCGACACUGACGCUGAGGAGCGAAAGCCAGGGGAGCAAACGGG